AAGUCGGACGGUCUCUGCUCUUCGGGGUGGGGACAGUGGCAGACGGCUGAGUAACACGUGAGGACCUAUCCAGUCGAGGGGGAUAGCCGCUCGAAAGGGCGGGUAAUACCGCGUAAGCCUGAGGGGGGUAGACCUUUUCGGGGAAAGCAGGGAGACCUGCGCGACUGGCGGGACUCGCGGCCCAUCAGGUAGUCGGUGGGGUGAAGGCCCACCGAGCCGAUGACGGGUAGCUGGUCUGAGAGGAUGGCCAGCCAGACUGGGACUGAGAGACGGCCCAGACUCCUACGGGGGGCAGCAGGGGGGGAUCUUGGUCAAUGGGGGAAACCCUGAACCAGCGACGCCGCGUGAGGGAAGAAGGUCCUUGGAUCGUAAACCUCUUUUGCCAGGGAAGAAGGCCUGAGUACAAGCUUGGGCUUGACGGUACCUGGCGAAUAAGCCCCGGCUAACUACGUGCCAGCAGCCGCGGUAAUACGUAGGGGGCGAGCGUUGUCCGGAUUUACUGGGCGUAAAGAGCGCGUAGGCGGUCUGAAGAGUCGGCUGUGAAAUCUCUGGGCCCAACCCAGAGGGGUCGGCCGAGACCUUUGGACUUGAGGGUGGUAGAGGAAGGUGGAAUUCCGGGUGUAGUGGUGAAAUGCGUAGAGAUCCGGAGGAACACCAGUGGCGAAGGCGGCCUUCUGGGCCAUACCUGACGCUGAGGCGCGAAAGCGUGGGGAGCGAACCGAAUUAGAUACUCGGGUAGUCCACGCCCUAAACGAUGGACGCUAGGUGUCGGGGGUAUCGACCCCCCCGGUGCCCGAGCGAACGCAGUAAGCGUCCCGCCUGGGGAGUACGGCCGCAAGGCUA
RNAcentral lists this ribosomal RNA (843 nucleotides) under uncultured bacterium. RNAcentral describes it as "bacterial SSU rRNA". It matches the Rfam family "Bacterial small subunit ribosomal RNA", at positions 59 to 896 of the family's 1533-position model. The record is from RNAcentral.